CCAUACCACCAUACCACCCUGAACGCACCCAAUCUCAUCUUCUCUUGGAAGCUACGCAGGGUAGGGCCUGGUUAGUACUUGGAAUGGAGAACUGGGUUUCUGAGGA
This 106-nucleotide ribosomal RNA is filed under the name Propithecus coquereli (Coquerel's sifaka). The record is from RNAcentral. Lineage: Eukaryota; Metazoa; Chordata; Mammalia; Primates; Indriidae.